CGUCAAUGGAGGGCAGGAGGGGUGGGAAUGCGUAGGGUGGGGUGGUUGUCCGGAAGUGUUGGGCGUAAAGGGCUUGUAGGCGGUUGGUCGCGGGUGCGGUGAAAAACCGGGGCUCAACUCCGGACUUGCAGUGGGUACGGGCAGGCUAGAGUGUGGUAGGGGAGACUGGAAUUCCUGGUGGAGCGGUGGAAUGCGCAGAUAUCAGGAGGAACACCGAUGGCGAAGGCAGGUCUCUGGGCCACUACUGACGCUGAGAAGCGAAAGCAUGGGGAGCGAACAGGAUUAGAUACCCGAGUAGUC
RNAcentral lists this ribosomal RNA (300 nucleotides) under uncultured Enterococcus sp. Its description in RNAcentral is "bacterial SSU rRNA". The stretch from base 52 to 300 matches the Rfam family "Bacterial small subunit ribosomal RNA", at positions 547 to 795 of the family's 1533-position model. The record is from RNAcentral. Lineage: Bacteria; Bacillati; Bacillota; Bacilli; Lactobacillales; Enterococcaceae.